RNAcentral lists this unclassified non-coding RNA (285 nucleotides) under Hevea brasiliensis (rubber tree). The record is from RNAcentral. Lineage: Eukaryota; Viridiplantae; Streptophyta; Magnoliopsida; Malpighiales; Euphorbiaceae.
UUUUUUUUUUUUUUUUUUUUACAAAAAAAGGUCAAGAUGCAUAAAAGUUUUCUGUAAAAAUUCUCACUCGACACCAACAACAAAACGAUUAGAAAGUAAGUUGUAUCAGUUCCAACUAAACUAACCCAAAAUCAUAGAUAUCCAACGUUCUAUGAUAGAAAAAUUUUUGAAAUAAUAACAUAAAACAAAAAGAUAUCAUAAUAACCAGGGAAAAUAAACAAAGAUAACAUAAACAAACAAAAUCUAGUCUCCUCAGUCUUCUUCAACAACAGUCCCUUUCUCACU